UUCACCUUGACACAUUGAAUAAAUAAUAAAGGGAAAAUAGCAGCAAAGAAAAGCCUCUCAAACCUGAUAAAGCUUAAUCCAAAUUUUCAGGGAUGGGAGACAGUGGGAGGGUGAUUCAUUGAGAAGGAAGCUACCACUGAAGAGCUGAGAAGGGAGGAGGGGGCAAUGUGAACUUCUGAAACAGGUCCCCGGUGGGUUCAAACAACCACAGAAUGCUAUUAGCUUUGGCUGGCACACUUGUGUUGGUCCAUAUCUGGAGUCCUGGACUCAGUUCUGGACACCCCCUUUAAAGGGAUGUUGACUAAAUCAAGAUUGUCCAGAGGAGGAGAUGUGAAAGAUAAAGACUCGCCAGGAUGGUGUCAAAAAAAAAUAUAUAUAUAUGACCACUUUGUGUGGUAGGCCCAAGUCUGCCAGAAAUGAUUUUUUAAAACUAUUUAACAUCUUAAAUCCAAGCAUUUCUAGCCUAAAAAGAGAAAUGUCAAAACUGGCAGAAGCUAUACUGAUACUCCAAAACAUCUCUCUACUCCAAGACAAUCUGAAGCAACAUUUAAAAGAAUCCUGAAAUAAGAAAGGAUCAAAAAAGUUAAAAUAUAGCUUUUUGGUUGGGGGGGAGGGGUGUCAAGAACUAUUUAGGUCUUUCCUAUACCAAUCCCCCAAGGGAUUGAGAAGCCUUCUUAUAAUCAAGAAGAAGGUCUUGUCUGGAGCUGGGCCACAAGGAUAAUCACUUCAAGAGUUGGGGAAAAGAACAAGAUUUCUGCACUUAAUUCAUUUAGAUUUUGGUUUGUUGUUGUUAUUGUUUGUUCUUAGCUUUCUGCGUCCUUUCCUAAAGAGAAAAGUAUGGAAAGGGUAUUAAGCUGGAGAAAUAUAUUUUCUUACUGUUUUUGGUUAAACAGAAGAAGAAUGAGGCUGAUUCUUUGGGACCCCAAGAGGGUGAUCUAGAAGCAGUGGGUAGGAAUUAUAAGGAAGCACCUUCUGAACAGGUAUUCUUGUGCAGUUUGGACCAGACAGCUUCUACAAAGAUCUCUUCCAGUUCAGAUUCUCCAAAAACUGGUCCAAGCUAUGGGGAGGACAAGGGAUGUAAAAUAUGGCCCUUGCUGAAUCUAUGGGACCAUGGGGUAGAAAUCAGGGACCCUCAGAGUUUUAAAAAGGGAGAACUGAGAAAAGAGGAAGAUUUCCUGGAAGAGAAAGAAUUCCAACUAAGUUUUGAAGAGAGCAUAGGAUUGCAAUAGGUUUAAGAGAGAAGGGAUGGUAUUUCUUGGGCAACUAGAGAGACCAAGACAAAAUGAAAUCAUCCCUACCCUCAAGGAGCUUACAUUCUAGAGGGGAUCACAUAAAAGUACUGACACACUAUAUACAAAAUAAACACAAGGUAAUUUGGUGAGGAAGCCCUAGUGGGGAAAGGCUUUUCCUUUUUCCAUUUCCCUAUAGGGAAUGACUUCUGAGCUGAGCUUUGAAGAAAAGCAGGGAAUCGGAAGGAUGGGACACAUUCCAUGCAUCUGGAACAGCCAAUCGAAGUGCUCAGGAGACAGAGAAAUAAUAAGAAAUCCAGGAAAACUGGAUCUUAGAGAGCAAGAAAGGCAGAAAUAUUUAAGUCUGACUAAGGAUUUUGGAUGCCAAACAGAAGCACUGGUACAGCAAACAAUCCUGUACCUAUAUGGUACUGGCAUCUGGCUUAUCCCUCGGACACCCCCCCACACCCACACCCACCCCCAGCUCCUGCCAGCUCCCAUCACUAACAGCAUGCCAUAAUACCAUAAUAAACCACCACAGUCAGUUAUGAAAGCUUCCUUAGCUGAUGAGAUAAACCUGAAAAGCUUGUUCGCAAACAAAAUUAACACGUGGGAGAAAAGGGGGAGUCUAGACCGACUAUGGAAAAAAAAAAACCUUUAUAUCAAAUAUCUUUAACAAAGAGUUUGAUUUCCAAAAUAUAAAGGCAGUUAAUAGAAACCUUACACCAAAAGCCAUUUCUCACCAAUAGAUAAGUGGUCAAAGGAUAUGAGCUGCUCUCAAAAAAAUACUGUAACAUGUAUAAUCUAUAUUAAUUUAAUAUAGAUUACUUACUGUUUUGGGGUGGAAAAGGAAGGAAAAGAAGAAGAGAGA
This is a long non-coding RNA of Sarcophilus harrisii (Tasmanian devil), 2100 nucleotides long. The record is from Ensembl. Lineage: Eukaryota; Metazoa; Chordata; Mammalia; Dasyuromorphia; Dasyuridae.